CCUACGGGUGGCAGCAGUGGGGAAUAUUGCACAAUGGGGGAAACCCUGAUGCAGCGACGCCGCGUGAGUGAAGAAGUAAUUCGUUAUGUAAAGCUCUAUCAGCAGGGACGAAAAUGACGGUACCUGCGUAAGAAGCCCCGGCUAACUACGUGCCACCAGCGGCGGUAAUACGUAGGGGGCAAGCGUGAUCCGGCUUUACUGGGUGUAAGGGGAGCGUAGACGGCAGUGCAAGUCUGGAGGGAAAGGCGGGGGCUCAACCCCCGGACUGCUCUGGAAACUGUACGGCUGGAGUGCAGGAGAGGUAAGUGGAAUUCCUAGUGUAGCGGUGAAAUGCGUAGAUAUUAGGAGGAACACCAGUGGCGAAGGCGGCUUACUGGACUGUAACUGACGUUGAGGCACGAAAGCGUGGGGAGCAAACAGGAUUAGAUACCCUAGUAGUC
This 440-nucleotide ribosomal RNA is filed under the name uncultured bacterium. RNAcentral's name for it is "partial 16S ribosomal RNA". It matches the Rfam family "Bacterial small subunit ribosomal RNA", at positions 338 to 795 of the family's 1533-position model. The record is from RNAcentral.